This 422-nucleotide ribosomal RNA is filed under the name uncultured archaeon. RNAcentral describes it as "bacterial SSU rRNA". It matches the Rfam family "Archaeal small subunit ribosomal RNA", at positions 322 to 747 of the family's 1478-position model. The record is from RNAcentral.
CCUACGGGAGGCAGCAGGCGCGAAUCUUCUGCAAUACGCGAGAGCGUGACAGAGCGAGUCAGAGUGCUUCUCAUAGAGAAGCUUUUGCUUAAUUUAAAAUGUUAGGCGAAUAAGGACUGGGCAAGACUAGUGCCAGCCGCCGCGGUAAUACUAGCUGUUCAAGUCGCAACCAUCAUUAUUGGGUCUAAAACAUCCGUAGCUUGCUUAGUGAGUUCUUUGUGAAAUCCUAUCUCUUAAGGAUAGGGCGAGCAGAGAAUACUACUAGGCUAGAGACUGGAAGAUGUAAGAAGUACGUUCGAAGUAGUCGUAAAAUACGUUGAUCUUGGACGGACUCAUAAUAGCGAAGGCAUCUUACAAGGACAGUUCUGACAGUGAGGGAUGAAGGCCAGGGUCGCGAACGGGAUUAGAUACCCCAGUAGUCC